CAGCACCUCAAGUGGUCAGGAUGAUUAUUGGGCCUAAAGCAUCCGUAGCCGGCGCUGUAAGUUUUCGGUUAAAUCUGUACGCUCAACGUACAGGCUGCCGGGAAUACUGCAGCGCUAGGGAGUGGGAGAGGUAGACGGUACUCGGUAGGAAGGGGUAAAAUCCUUUGAUCUAUUGAUGACCACCUGUGGCGAAGGCGGUCUACCAGAACACGUCCGACGGUGAGGGAUGAAAGAUGGGGGAGCAAACCGGAUUAGAUACCCGAGUAGUCC
RNAcentral lists this ribosomal RNA (270 nucleotides) under uncultured archaeon. Its description in RNAcentral is "partial 16S ribosomal RNA". It matches the Rfam family "Archaeal small subunit ribosomal RNA", at positions 477 to 747 of the family's 1478-position model. The record is from RNAcentral.